AUUGAACGCUGGCGGCAUGCCUAACACAUGCAAGUCGAGCGGAGCGGCGGGCGGGUGUGUAAUGCCUAGGAAUCUGCCUGGUAGCGGGGGUUAACGUUCGGAAACGGGCGCUAUUACCGCAAUCUAUCAGAUGAGCCUAGGUCGGAGUAGCUUGGUGGGGGGGUAAAGGCCUACCAAGGCGACGAUCCGUAAGUGGUCUGGGAGGAGGAUCAGUCACACUGGAACUGAGACACGGACCAGACUCCUACGGGACGCAGCAGUGUGGAAUAUGGGGCAAUGGGCGAAAGCCUGGUCCAGCGAUGCCGCGUGUGUGAAGAAGGUCUUCGGAUUGUAAAGCCCGUUAAGUUGGGAGGCGGUACCAACAGAAUAAGCACCGGCUAACUUCGUGCCAGCAGCCGCGGUAAUUC
RNAcentral lists this ribosomal RNA (407 nucleotides) under uncultured bacterium. RNAcentral's name for it is "partial 16S ribosomal RNA". It matches the Rfam family "Bacterial small subunit ribosomal RNA", at positions 30 to 526 of the family's 1533-position model. The record is from RNAcentral.